Molecule: transfer RNA, 67 nt
Filed under: Nothochrysa sinica
Lineage: Eukaryota; Metazoa; Arthropoda; Insecta; Neuroptera; Chrysopidae
Description: tRNA-Phe
Source: RNAcentral
AUUUAAAUAGCUUAUAAUUAGAGCAUAACAUUGAAGCUGUUAAGGAGGUUAAUAUAAUCUUUAAAUA